UCCACUUCUACUGGCCUCCCAUUUCCCCCCUUGACACAACCAGCCAUCAUAGGUGGACAUCCUUCAGGAAACCCAGGGCCGCCAUAUGGGAGAAUCUCCGGGGAAAAAAAGUGACACAGCAGGAGUAAAGUCCACGCUGCGCAGCUCUGUGAUUCCUGUUUCCCCGAGCAAUCUCCAAAAUUUGUCACCCUUGAAGAUUUUGAUGUUGUGUGCCUUCAUGAGGGAUAACAAAUGUGUUCCACAAAAUCUUCCUCCUAAAACCUCAUCAAGCUGCACCGAGGGGAGGAUAUUUAAUACCUCCUCAAAGAAAAAAAUCCAUCAUCUCAAAGAUAGGUCCUGAUUUUGUGUUGUGCAUUCAGUAAUUCACUUGGUUAAAGAGUUGUUAAGAAGUUGCCUGUACUCAGAUGACGAAUUAAAGACCCUGUGGUAACUUUUUUUCAAAUAAAUUGCAAAUACGUCA
Molecule: long non-coding RNA, 460 nt
Organism: Notolabrus celidotus (New Zealand spotty)
Lineage: Eukaryota; Metazoa; Chordata; Actinopteri; Labriformes; Labridae
Exons: 3
Source: RefSeq, a predicted model, not a curated record